RNAcentral lists this ribosomal RNA (622 nucleotides) under Triticum aestivum (bread wheat). RNAcentral describes it as "partial small subunit ribosomal RNA". Lineage: Eukaryota; Viridiplantae; Streptophyta; Magnoliopsida; Poales; Poaceae. The record is from RNAcentral.
UUUUUUAAGGAUUUUUCUUUCACAACAAUAGCUAUAAUAGAUUUGUUACAACAAAAUAUUCAAAUGAUCAUGUUGUGAUUGUCGCAAACUAACUACAAAGAAAACUGACAAGAACUUUCAUAUUAUAUUUAAUCUGUAGUGAAAAUUGUGGUAUAUAUCUAUAAAUUCUAACACCUGGUAAGCAUAUUCUACUAAUUUGAACAGGAACUUCCAUAUUAUACUUACUCUGGUCCUUCCUUCCCUGUCGUCGGCAAGGCACCCGCUGAAGCGCUCGAGCAGUCUAGGAGAAGAAGAGUAGGGCAGAUUCAAAUCAGCAGCAUGAGGGAUAAGGCGGCCAUGACUAAGGUGACAUAUUGAGGAGCAGGACGCAGCGAUAGGGAGGCAGAGAUUGCUUCUUCAGCCUUCGUCCACUUCUUCGCCUUGCACAUGCAUACCCACCCACACCGUUGCCUCCAAGCUAGGAUGAACGUAACCACGGUCCAGCGGCAAAAACUUAGGUCUGAGACACAUCCGCCUACAAGCCACCAUAGCUGACGGCUAUGUGAUGCUCGAGCUCCGACUCUUCUUUGGAUCAUCAGUUCUCAGGUUUGUUCAUCUUCUGCGUACCUCAAUUUCGUGGCUU